GAUCCCAUCAGAACUCCGAAGUUAAGCGUGCUGUGGCGAGAGUAGUACUAGGAUGGGUGACCCCCUGGGAAGUCCUCGUGUUGCACCC
RNAcentral lists this ribosomal RNA (88 nucleotides) under Atractylodes macrocephala. Lineage: Eukaryota; Viridiplantae; Streptophyta; Magnoliopsida; Asterales; Asteraceae. The record is from RNAcentral.